UGCAGUCGAACGAGAUCCUUCGGGGUCUAGUGGCGCACGGGUGCGUAACGCGUGGGAAUCUGCCUUUCGGUACGGAAUAACUCAGGGAAACUUGUGCUAAUACCGUAUGACGUCGCGAGACCAAAGAUUUAUCGCCGAAAGAUGAGCCCGCGUAGGAUUAGCUAGUUGGUGGGGUAAAGGCCUACCAAGGCGACGAUCCUUAGCUGGUCUGAGAGGAUGAUCAGCCACACUGGGACUGAGACACGGCCCAGACUCCUACGGGAGGCAGCAGUGGGGAAUAUUGGACAAUGGGCGAAAGCCUGAUCCAGCAAUGCCGCGUGAGUGAUGAAGGCCUUAGGGUUGUAAAGCUCUUUUACCCGGGAUGAUAAUGACAGUACCGGGAGAAUAAGCCCCGGCUAACUCCGUGCCAGCAGCCGCGGUAAUACGGAGGGGGCUAGCGUUGUUCGGAAUUACUGGGCGUAAAGCGUACGUAGGCGGUGACUCAAGUCAGAGGUGAAAGCCCGGGGCUCAACUCCGGAAUUGCCUUUGAAACUAGGUCGCUUGAACGUCGGAGAGGUGAGUGGAAUUCCGAGUGUAGAGGUGAAAUUCUUAGAUAUUCGGAAGAACACCAGUGGCGAAGGCGGCUCACUGGACGACUGUUGACGCUG
RNAcentral lists this ribosomal RNA (647 nucleotides) under uncultured soil bacterium. RNAcentral describes it as "bacterial SSU rRNA". It matches the Rfam family "Bacterial small subunit ribosomal RNA", at positions 56 to 748 of the family's 1533-position model. The record is from RNAcentral.